CGCCUAUUAAUAGAAUAGUAGGUAGAUUCUGCCCAAUGAUACUUGAAUGGCCGCAGUAUCCUAACUGUGCUAAGGUAGCAUAAUAAUUUGUCCUUUAAUUGAGGGCUGGUAUGAAUGAACUGACGAAGGGAAAAUUGUCUCUGUAAAUUAACAAAAAUUUUAUGUCUAUGUAAAAAAGCUUAGAUAAUGUAGGGGGACGACAAGACCCUAGAAGCUUUACCCUUAAAGCUUUUAAAUAUAUAUACCUAUAAAGUCUAUUGGGUUUUUACUGGGGCGGUAAUUCUUUUAACAAGAGUUGAUAAAACACGUUGAGUGACUCCAUUUAACUUAUCUUAUAAAAUAGAAUUAAGUUACUCUAGGGAUAACAGCGUAAUUCUCUGCUAGAGUCCUUAUCGACCAGAGAGCUUACGACCUCGAUGUUGAAUUGAAGCCCUACUUAGAGCAGCAUCUAAAUAAAGGAAGACUGUUCGUCUUUUAAAUCUUCACG
RNAcentral lists this ribosomal RNA (487 nucleotides) under Ligia sp. 2 CAS-2018. Its description in RNAcentral is "partial large subunit ribosomal RNA". It matches the Rfam family "Bacterial large subunit ribosomal RNA", at positions 1826 to 2600 of the family's 2925-position model. The record is from RNAcentral. Lineage: Eukaryota; Metazoa; Arthropoda; Malacostraca; Isopoda; Ligiidae.